Long non-coding RNA from Gallus gallus (chicken), 4525 nucleotides. RefSeq lists it as uncharacterized. The transcript has 7 exons. Lineage: Eukaryota; Metazoa; Chordata; Aves; Galliformes; Phasianidae. The record is from RefSeq and is a predicted model, not a curated record.
GGGUGUCUUGCUAGAGAUCUCUGCCUACCUGAGGCUUUCUAAAGAAUGGUCACCUGUGGCCCUGUGAGUUGCCUUUGGCCAGGACCGGAUAAUUCAUGAGGAGAGAGUGCCUCAUGCACAAGGCAUCUUCUCAUCACUGGCUGCUGCUAUACAACUGUAUCUUUAGCAACCCGAUAUAUCCAUGGAUCAAGUGUGUGAUUAUGAGGCAGAAGAGAUGAAGUCUGUCAGGGAUCUCCUAACUAGCUAAGCCAGGCAUGAAAAGAGAUGAAUCAAAAUAAGAAUAAUUGAAGAAUACUCACCCUUCCCCUUGGGGAAAGAAUUAAGAGCAUCACUGCAACUGCUUGAAAACUGCCCAAAGAGUCGAGCUGUCAGAAGAAUGGCAGAAGAACAGAAUGCAGAGAAGCAAGAAAAAAAACCACACAACUGAACUUCCAUAUGAACUGAAAACACUGAAGAAAACAUAAUGACUAGACCAUCCAAUUUUUCAUUGGCCACAGAAUCCACUGCCCUUUCAUUGUCAGCAUCAUUACACUGCUCUCAAGAAUUCCUGCUCUCAAGGGACUGAGGCACUAGUCACUGUUUACUGUAACGGGAGAAAUAGGAUGUGCAGUAUAUGAAGAUUUGGCAUACAAUGGGAAUUAGGAAUCAAGGUUAAUUACCUAGGAGUGAUGAAAAUACUGUUGGAAAAAUACAUGCUGAUGAGCAGAAGGCACUGUUCUAUGUGCUUCUGUGCCUGAUGGGAAAGCUGCAAAGAAGUCACACUCCUCAGCUUCAAUCUGCUCCCACGGAUCCUCCAAAGUAGAGAUGUUCUGGGAUGGACCCCAGGUGACUGUGUCACGCCUGGCUCAUAGUAUGUUUACAGUGAGCAGGUCUCUAAUGGCAUGGACACUUCCCAGUAUUUGAAAGCCACAGCUGCACACUUUGGUAAUGUAAUUUGAUGUAAUAUAUUUAGCAAAACACAAUUUGCAGAGUAUAGAAAAACAUAAGCCCUGCGCAGAGAAGGAACACACAGACAUUGUGUGGAUAUUGGGGCAGCAGUUGAAGGAGAACCUGUAGCCCUCAUCGCUCACUUUAUCAAAGAAUUCAAAGCAUCGGAAACUUACUGUGGAGUGCUCUAGAGUUAUAAAACAGAUUCUAAGCAUGCCUUGAAAUAUGGAGAAAAUUAUUUCGAACACACAUAUAUAUGCAUGAUUCUAUGAUUCUUCGAAAUCAUGCAUUGUUAAAUUCUCUGUAUUCUGUACGUGUCUGCACAGCUGUGUUUCUAGUAAGGUGGAUUUGUGCAUUACAAACAUGUAACAGACUUGCCACGCAUUGAGGUUCUCUGCUCAGGGAAGUACUGCAAUGAUCAAACAGGAACAGAAACUCCAUUUCUACAUUUUACAUGGAAUGACACGAGCUAUUCUGUGACAGAAGUGCUGGAAGUCCCAUCCUUGGAGACAUUAAAGAUGAGGCUUUGAGCAACUUGAUGUAGCUGUGCAUGUCCCCGUUCAUUGCAAGGGAGUUGGACUAGAUGACCUUCAAGGGUCCUUUCCAACUCAAAUGAUUCUACGAUUCUAUGAUUCUAUUUACUUACACACUCUGAAGCGGUGAUUGUCAAAGAGCUGGACAUGAAAGAUUGCCCUUCGUUCAAACUCACCAAAACUUCUAUAGUUCUGGAAAGAAAAAGGAAAACAAUCAGCAGCCAUAAAGCACUCAGUAAAGGCACAUACAUGCUACGGAGGCACUGGGAUGUGCAGGCUCCAUUCAACAGAGUGGGUGUUCUCAGACAGGUGUCCUUAGAAACCAAUCCUUGCUCAUUUCCAGUUGAGCUUUCUUCAAUUCAUGCUACUUAGAAUUGAAUACACCAAUAGCUUGCGGUGUCCCUCUGGGGUUGUGUUGAUGACUGUUACAAAUAAUUUCAGUCUUCUCAGUAGAGAGCUGAGAAUAUCCCUUCUCUAUUCCACGUAACAUAAAACACCCCCAAAAGUUCCACAUGAAAUAAAUUGUGGAUCAACUGUAAAAAUAGCAUUGUUUUGUCUACUCCAUAACCAUCUCUUUAGUCAUACACAGACAUUAUGGAUAAAAAUGUCGAAUAAUUAUAAAUGGUCAAGACUUUCUAUAAAUAGUACAUAAACACUGCAUGCAAAUAGUAUGUGGUUUACAUUUUACAAAUUAACCCUAGAAGAAAACAACACAUGGCGAAUGUUAAACAGAAGAGGACUCUUCAGCAUCUCUGGCUUGGAUUCCCAAGAUUCAGUUUAUGUUAUGCACAGUUGUAAUUAAAUAAAAAUAUAGAUAUCCAUGAACUAAAAUGAUUAAUCAUUUAUAGCGUUCUUCUUAGAUGUCAUCAAUUUUUAUUCUGGCACAAACGCUUUAGUCAAUAUGGAGUUCAGAGCUAUUUUAACUAAUUUGGCUAAUCUCUUUUUCAAUUUAAGUAAAAAUGAAGUAAGUUGCUUCCACUAAACUCAUUUUUAAAUGGUCUAUGUUAUGAAUAAUUGAUCUAACAGAAAGAAUAACACUAAUUUACUUCUAAUUACUACAGGAGUGAGUGAAUCAGAACAGAUAAAAUAAAAAAUUAAUUAAAUUCUCUCCCAACUAAAUAAAGCAAACUGCAAAAAAACUUCAGUUUGUGAUGAAUAUUUUAGAUGUUGUGUUUUUUAUUUAUUUAUUUUUAAUUUUCAGUUUCUCACUUUGCCAUUUCAGUGAGAAAUGCUAUGGGAAACUUUAACAUCACAAUUCUGCUUGAGUGUGACUGGCAAAAUGAUCCUACUGACUUGAGUGCAGAGCAAGAGGAUUUCACUCCAUGCCUUUUGUUAAAUGGAGAAGAAAUUUGUAUGUUUCAACUCUUCAAUAUCUUGAAGAUCUGCACAUCGUAAACACAGCACACUGUUUUUCUGUCCAAGUCAUCCCAGUAAAGUUUCCAGCAUCAUGAAGUCACAUCUUUUUGCACUCUGAUCACAUCACUGCUCUAACCAUGGCUGUACAGGUGUAACUGAAAGCUGAACUCAGUCCAGAAAUACAGAAGAAAUCACAGCACAGAGAGUAUCUUUGAUUGCAACUUUUCAGUUAAGUCCAAAUCCAGACAGAAGAGAUUGUUCUCAUACAUGCUUCAUUUUCCCCCCUUCAGCCUUGUCUUUUUAAAGCAGAGGCAGAGAGUAACAUGCCAUAGGCUCCACACCAAAUUUUGGGACUUGGGUAAACCCAAGAAAAGGCAUCCAUUGUGGUCAUGUUUCCAAAGUACAAAAGCUAUUCAGCCCUUAUACUUUCUCUGAACUUUCCUAAGUAAUGGUGGGUGCUUUCCCUGUGACAGAUGCUAUAAUCGCGAUUCUGUUGCUUGGUGUGAAUUCUGGUCAUCCUUCCAACUAUGCUAUAUCCAGCUGUAGUACACCAUGUAAUCUUGAUUUUUAAAUAACCAUAUCAUGUUCUCGAAGUCUGUGAAUCUACAUCCUUACAUACCUUGUGCAUUUUUUUUCAAUUUCCCAUAAUACUUUAACUGUCUAAAUCCAUUUUUGCUUUUCCUCAUCUCUUUCAUCCUUGCUUGGAACCAUUUCUCUAGUCUUUUGUUGUGCAAAACUCCACUGAGAUCAACAAUAGCUGCCUAUGUGUUGGUGAAGAACUUCUGGUUUUGGCCAGGAACAUCUGACUACAGUUACUUGAAGCUAUUGGGAUCCAAUUUCCAAACUGCUUUCAGAUGCCUUUCCCCAUUUCAUUUAAAAAAAAUAAAAAUAAAAAAUUGUGAACAAUACUCCCUGAUUUCAUAUGCAUUUUCUUCUGCUAUCCAAUCAGUUCCCUCUGCUGCUUGGCAAAAUCAUCCUUCCUCCUGACUCGUGUGUUUUUCUUGGUCAGGAAUAUUUUAGUAUUUUCCAAUACUAUUUCACGAUGUUUUUUGCCCUCUGGCAUUUUGUUGAGCUGUUUGACAUGCUGCUACCAGUCCCAAAUGAACAUGGUUGCAAUGAAGGUGCGUCAGUGACUGACUGCCAUUGCCAGCACUAGCUGGAAAUUCCUGCUAUGAAGGAAUGAGACCUAUGACUUGGGUAUUGGGUUAUUUUGUAUUCCCCAGAAAAGUCCCAGCUUUCAAGACUAGUCAUCAACCCUGUAAAAUUUCUCACAUCAUUUCUCUCUUAGACAUUAGUGCUUGAAGCAAAAGAAGUCAUUCUUUUUUCUGUUCCCUCUCCGUGCCGUGCAUCAUACUCGUGCUGCAACAUAGGCUGUUUUCUUCAAUUUCUGUGACCAGUUCUUUCUUGCUACUGUAUGGAGCAUCUCUACUUGUUCUCUAGCAGUGCUUCAUAGCUUUCAUGUCUGCCCUAUUUGUCCCUGGGAGCUUGAUGGGUCUAGGCUGAAACAUGCAGGGCUUGUGUCAUUCAGUGAACAGGAAAUGAAGCUGUUCUUGAUGUUCUUCACUGGUAAACUGAACAAAGCAGGAAACUCAAAGGCUUUUGAUGAAACUGCACAGAAAAAUCAUCUUCAGCCACACCAUGCAGCUUUUAACGAUCUAUGAAAAAUACUGCAUAAUAGCUAAGAUAGCCUAGAUGAGUGGAUAAACAGU